UACGUAGGGUGCAAGCGUUAAUCGGAAUUACUGGGCGUAAAGCGUGCGCAGGCGGCUUUGCAAGACAGAUGUGAAAUCCCCGGGCUUAACCUGGGAACUGCAUUUGUGACUGCAUGGCUAGAGUGCGGCAGAGGGGGAUGGAAUUCCGCGUGUAGCAGUGAAAUGCGUAGAUAUGCGGAGGAACACCGAUGGCGAAGGCAAUCCCCUGGGCCUGCACUGACGCUCAUGCACGAAAGCCUGGGGAGCGAACGGG
RNAcentral lists this ribosomal RNA (253 nucleotides) under uncultured bacterium. RNAcentral describes it as "partial 16S ribosomal RNA". It matches the Rfam family "Bacterial small subunit ribosomal RNA", at positions 524 to 776 of the family's 1533-position model. The record is from RNAcentral.